This 63-nucleotide transfer RNA is filed under the name Chabertia ovina (large-mouth bowel worm). RNAcentral describes it as "tRNA-Lys". It matches the Rfam family "tRNA". Rfam says of the family: Transfer RNA (tRNA) molecules are approximately 80 nucleotides in length. Their secondary structure includes four short double-helical elements and three loops (D, anti-codon, and T loops). Lineage: Eukaryota; Metazoa; Nematoda; Chromadorea; Rhabditida; Strongylidae. The record is from RNAcentral.
GAGAUGUUAACUUAAGUUUAAAGUGUCAGAUUUUUAAUUUGAAAAUGUUAUGUACACAUCUUA